AAACGCUUGAAGUCAGUCGCGUCUUCCGGAACUCAGCCUGGCUUUUGCCUGGUGUACUUUCUGGUUGGACGGGCCAGCAUCAAUUUCGAUCGUUGGAUAAAGGCGGCAGGAAUGUGGCAUCUUCGGGUGUGUUAUAGCCUGUCGUCGCAUACAACGGUUGGGAUUGAGGAUCUCAGCAUGCCUUUACGGUCGGGGUUCGCCCACGUUCAUGCUUAGGAUGCUGGCGUAAUGGCUUUAAACGA
This 242-nucleotide ribosomal RNA is filed under the name Steccherinum sp. Its description in RNAcentral is "partial large subunit ribosomal RNA". The record is from RNAcentral. Lineage: Eukaryota; Fungi; Basidiomycota; Agaricomycetes; Polyporales; Steccherinaceae.